AGUGAACGCUGGCGGUAGGCCUAACACAUGCAAGUCGAACGGCAGCACAGUAAGAGCUUGCUCUUACGGGUGGCGAGUGGCGGACGAGUGAGGAAUACAUCGGAAUCUACUUUUUCGUGGGGGAUAACGUAGGGAAACUUACGCUAAUACCGCAUACGACCUACGGGUGAAAGCAGGGGAUCUUCGGACCUUGCGCGAUUGAAUGAGCCGAUGACGGAUUAGCUAGUUGGCGGGGUAAAGGCCCACCAAGGCGACGAUCCGUAGCUGGUCUGAGAGGAUGAUCAGCCACACUGGAACUGAGACACGGUCCAGACUCCUACGGGAGGCAGCAGUGGGGAAUAUUGGACAAUGGGCGCAAGCCUGAUCCAGCCAUACCGCGUGGGUGAAGAAGGCCUUCGGGUUGUAAAGCCCUUUUGUUGGGAAAGAAAAGCAGCAGGUUAAUACCCCGCUGUUCUGACGGUACCCAAAGAAUAAGCACCGGCUAACUUCGUG
This 492-nucleotide ribosomal RNA is filed under the name uncultured bacterium. RNAcentral's name for it is "partial 16S ribosomal RNA". It matches the Rfam family "Bacterial small subunit ribosomal RNA", at positions 29 to 507 of the family's 1533-position model. The record is from RNAcentral.